Long non-coding RNA from Panonychus citri (citrus red mite), 6703 nucleotides. RefSeq lists it as uncharacterized. The transcript has 2 exons. The record is from RefSeq and is a predicted model, not a curated record. Lineage: Eukaryota; Metazoa; Arthropoda; Arachnida; Trombidiformes; Tetranychidae.
UAUGUGACAAAUUAACUUAUCAUCAACUAAUUGACAGGUAACAUUGUAAAAGUUAAUCAACAACUUUUUUUUUUAACUAAUUGCUAAGUUAUUAAGAUUUAAGUGAUGAUAAUUAAUCAAGAAAGAUUAAUGUUGAUUUGAUUAAUAAUCAUGAUUAACAAAUGAAACAAUUAAAAUUUUUCAAGUUUACUUCGUUAUUAUUAUUAAGUUUUCCCUCCUGAAAACAUUGAGCCAACCAAAAAGUGAUAUCAAGAGAUGAGGAUCAAGAUGAUGAAGAAGAUGAUAAGAAAGAGAAAGUAUUUAAGUCUUUCUUUUUCAAUGAUGAUUAAGGUAUUUAGGUCAAAUGUCAAGUAUAAUCUGUCCUUUGGAAACCUUAAUGUUACCUGAUUUUUGACAUUUCGUCAUCAUAAACAUUAUAAGCAUCCUCAUCCUCAUCCUCAUCAAUUAACAGUUACUUUUGAUUCAUAUUUUUUUCAUUAUGGAUUCAGAGUCAACGGAUGAUGAUGUUGAUGUUGAUGUUGAUGAUGAUGAUGAUGAUGAUGAGGAUACAGAAAAUAAUGAAUUGUUUGAUAAACAAAAGGAAGACAAGAAAUGACUUUUUUUUAUUACAUGAAAAUAAACAAUAAGCUUGAUUGUUAUUGUUUGUUGUUAAUGAUGAUGAUUAACAUGGUAACCUAACCAAUGUUUUCAUCAUGAUAAUGAUGAUUAUGAUGAUAGAUACAUUAAAACAAAAACGAGUUAGUUGAACAGAAAAAAAAAAUUAGUAAAUACGAUAACAAUUAGUGAUGAAAAUGAAUGAAAUUGAAAUAAUAAUGAAUUUGUAAGCUCAUUGAAAAAAAAAGAGAAACAAAAAAAAAAGUUGAAAGCUGAAAAUUUGAAUGAAAAGUUGGUAAAUUGUUACCCAACAAAUUGCCAAACUUUGACUUGUAUUACUUUUGAUUGUUAAUUAUUGUUGCUUACUUAUCACUAACUGCUACUGUUAAUCAUGAUUGUUGUUGUUAAAAGUGUUAUUGGUUAAAUUGUUACCAUUUAAACGUAUACAACAAUCAUCGACCUAAAAAAUUAACCAAUUGAAGCGUUGAUGGUUACAUUGACACGCACCAAUCACGCCUUGUAACAAAUAUCUUGUGUAUCUGUUGAUUAUCAUCAUCAUCAUCAUCAUCAUCAUCAUCAUCACAAUCUUCAUCUCCAUCUUCAUGAGUAACUAAAUUUAUAUCAUCGUCAUUAUUGGUAUCAGAAUUUUAAAACGAAACUAAUAUUUAAAAGUUAACAUUCUGUUUCUCAACUUUGCUCCAAAUUUCAACAAUCAAGUUAAUCCCAUAGAUGAUAAUUAAGCUGAUUAGCAUGAAACAAUUUAGAAAAUUUGUCUGUUCAUCAUCAGUUAAUCACUUGAAAUGCACAAAUCAAUUGAAAGGGUUCGAAACAAUUACCAAAAAUAAAAAAGUUUCCAACAUCUUCAAUGUAACUUAACCGUUUCUUGUUAUUUCUUAACUGUUGUUGCCUUUAAUUUGAACUUACAGUUAUUACCUGAAUAUUAUUAUAAUAGUUAAUUACCUUUUUUACCUGGAAGAUAAAUUCUUAUCAUCAUUAUAACAGGAAAUUCAAUAUUAUCAUAAAAAUCAUUUCUUUUUCUAUUCGAUUUCUUUUUCUUUCUUUUUUUUUGAAGGUCGAAUAUUAUUUUUUUUUCUUCUCAUAAUUAACCAAUAUUAGCCGUAGGGUUUUAUUGUGGUUUUGUAAUAGUAAAUGUUAUUAUUAAUGAUGAUGAUGAUAAUAUUAAAUAUCGUGAGAUAGGGAGGGAGGGAGACGGAAAAAACAUGGUUUCUGAUUUAGGGAGAGGUGGAUGAUGAUGAUGAUGGAGAUUAGAGGGGAUGAGAAGGUGAAAUUUUGUUCUUUUUUCAAACUAACAAUGAAAAUGAAUAGUUUGAGUUUCCUCUGUCUUGUUGAUCCAGAAAAAGAAAGAGAAGACGAUGGAAGAAGAUAAAUUUCUCUCUCUCUCUCUCUCUGUCUCUCUUACACAGAUUUAUAUAUGUAUUUAUAUAUACAUUUAGAGUCUAUGGUUGUAAGGAUGAGGAUGAGGAUGGAGAGAUAUGAUGAGAAGAGGGAUGAAGGAGGGAAAAAGUGAAAAGUCUGACAGGAAUCUGGUUGCCAAGAAAAUUUCAAAUUCUAUGUUGAUUUUUAAGCACGACUAGACUCUUAUCAUCAUCUUCUUCUUCAUCUUCAUCCUCAUCAUCAUCAGAAUGUUUAGUCUUCCCAUCCAUACUCUUCUUCUCUUCUUCAUCUUCAUCAUUCUCAUCUUUGAAAUGCUCUAUUUCUUUAUGUAUAUAUACAAGAUGACUUCUUGUCUUUUUUGAUACAAAUUUCAUAUGGGACAUCAUCUUCAUUCAUUAUCUUCCUCAUCAUCUAUAUGUAGUGUGAUGAUUGUGACUCUUUCUUAUCAUCAUCAUCAUCAUUUCCCACUCUAAGUUGAUCAUCUCUCUCUCUCCUCAUCUACUUAUCCUUGUCACUAAUUUUUUUUUGUCAAUUUAUGUUUUCUGGUCUGUAAUCUGUAACCAAGAAAACAAGAUUAUCAAUUUAUCUGUUAGUUAAUUUUUGAUUUACUUGAUUGGAUUAACAACAAUUUAGGGCGAAACAAUUUCAUUUACACCAAACAAUUGGGAUUAAUCCAAGUUACCGAUCAUGAUUAGCAUAGUUAAUUAUUCUCGAUGAUUAAAUACUAAAUGCGAAAUUGGUAAAAGGAUUCGUUUCUAAUUUCGUUUUAUUUUUCCUUCUUCUAUUGAUUAUCCUUGUAUUAUUUUUUUUUCUUAAUUUCUAUUCUUAUCCUCCAACAAUUAACUCUCACUAAUUCCUGUCUGUAGAUUGUUUCAGUUAAUAGUAAAUGUUAUUCUCUUUUUUUUUCUUCAUCGCUCUUUAAUUGUUGAACAAUCAUUUCGACAACAAUUAAACAGGGAAAAUACCAUAAGGUCAAUGAUAAUAAUAGAUUGAUAGUCUUGAGAUUAUCCUGACAAUUAGGAGAUAGAAUAAUAAAAUUGGAUUCUGUUAUUCCCUCGAUUCUGGUGAAUGAUUAAGUCCUUGAAUCUAAUUGAAAACGAGGUUAUUCAUGAUCAGGAUGAUAAAGGAUUGAGAAUUCAUCUUCCAUGGUCAUCAAUCCAAUUUCUAUCAUCAUCAUCUCAUUUUACUCUUUCUCUUCCUUGUUUUUUUUGCAUCUUCACUUUCUGACCUCGAGUAUAUUUUUCCCCUUCUCAUCAUCGUCAUCGUUUUGAUUGAUAAAUUUUAAUGUGACAAUUUAAUUGAUCAAUUAUGUUUACCAAUCACAACAAUUAAAAAGCAUCGUGUAAAUUGUGACCAUUAAAACCAUCCUGGUUUCCUUGUUGCUGUUGAUUAAGAUCGUGGAUUAAGAUUAAGAUGAUCUACUUAAUGGUCAAGAUAUAGAUUUUGGAAAAUGGAAACAAACCCUUGACCCUUGAGGGCAUUUUCAUCUCUCUUUCUCUUGUUAUUGUCAAAUCACCUUUAACCUUUUUAUUUUGAUCAUUAUCAACUUAAUCUACUGAUUAAAAGUUUUCAAGUGAUUAUAAGAUUAAGUUAAUAAAUCUUACAGGAAGUAGAUCAACAAGAUUAAUUAAAUACGAUAAAUUCAAUUGUAAUUGAUAACAAUGAUUGUCAAGUGUUGUCCAUUCAGUUUCAAGUUUAUUUGUCCUCAUUAACUUAAUCAUCACAAGACAAUAAUAUUUAAUCAACUGACCAAAUGGACUAUCAAUCAAAGUUGAUUAGUUAGAUUUUCUUAUUAAAAGUAAUUAGUGUUUUUUAUUUGUAUGACAAAAAAAAACAAGACAAUCAAAAUUAAAAGUUAACAAAAAUUUUCACCAACAAAUCAUUUCAUUCAUUUUCACAGUUAGGUGCAAAUAGAAUCACAAUUAAUGAUAAUUAUCAUGGUUGAUUGUUAAUCAACAUGAUUAGUGUAUUAUUUUGAUUAUCUUCAUGAUGAAUUGUAGGAAAAUCGAAAGAAAAAUUUUCGAAAAAAAAAGUUUGGACCUUGAGAAAAGGCCUUUAGUUUACUACGCAGCGGAUUCUUUUUCUCUUCCUCUUCAAGUAGGUUAUAUACCUGGAAGAUAAUUAUGAUGAUAAGGAUGAGGUGGUGGAGGAAGAUGAGGAUGAAAAGAAAAAGAGAAAAAAAAAUUGCAAAGGUAGGAAUUAAAAGGAAUAUGGUAACGCGUGUUUAUCGCGUGUUGACCAAACAUAAACAGUACCAACCUUUAUUUCCCUUGAUGUUCAAUCUGCUCGAUGAUGAAAAGAUGAUGAAAGAUGAUAAAUAUGAUGAUAAUAAUGGAUCGUAGUUAAUGGUGAGCAGAUGUUAACAACCUGAGUCUUGCUUACCUGGUGAGUGGUUUUCGUUGAAGAUGCAAAGAUGAAAGGUUAAAGUUGCACAAAAAUCUGCGCGUGCCAAUCAUUGGUCAAGAGUAAGAAAAGGUAAGAGGUCAGUGAGCUUUUUUCUUGACGCUUUUACCUGUGUAUCAAUGUAUCAUUGUGUCUGUUGUUGUUGUUGUUGUGUGUGUGUGUCAUUUUCUGACCAACUGUUACUAAUACACCAACGAAGGUAAAAAUGUCCGCUGGGGGUUGGUGAUCGUUCAAAUGACCUCGGACAUCAAGGGACAAAGUUACAUUGAACUUUCCAAGUCAAUGGUGGUCAACAAAUAACAACAACAACAACAUCAACAAUCAUAAUAAUAACAAUGUUUGACCGGUGGACUAGUAAGUUGACCUUUUGCUUUGAGCUGGUUCGUUGAUGACCAUAUAAUAUAUUGGUCAUUAUAAAUGACCACCAGCAACUGAUAGUAUUUGAGUCUCUGUGCCGUUUUUGUUUAUUCAUCAUUUUUAAUAGGCAACAAUUUACUUAACUUUUGGUAAUUAACUUAAUUUUUAUCAGCAUUUCUCCUCCACUUAUUGAGUUACCUUUCAGCUUUGGCGGAGGAGGACGAAGAGGGUAAAGGACAGGUGAUCUCUCUGUCUGUCUCUCUGUCUCUCUAGUCGAGGUUAUUGAGUCGAAAGGAAGUUGAUCAAGAGAUGAGGAUGGAGAUGAUGAUGAUGAUAAACGCUCCCUAAAAACAGUUUCCUUUUCAAAAGAGAGAACCAAUCUUACCUUAUUUAGGUCCUUGUGUGUGAGGAAAACAGAAGAAAAGGAAAUGGUAAAGAUGAAGAUGAAAGAAGAGAAUAAGAGACAAGUCCAAUGUGUUGUUGUUCGCUUGAGGUCAAAGCCCGUUUAGCAUUUUUAGCGUCCGAAAAAAUGUAUAACUUUAAUUCCCGUUGCAAGGCAGCUGCCGAUGGAUGUUGAUAGUUAAUUGUUGGUCUGAUUGUUGGAGAGAAAGUAAAUCAAUAUCCAUUGUUUGUUUCGAAAAUUUACUUUUUCCCGCCUCUUUUUUCAUGGAUUCUUCAUUUUGACCAGACGAUGAAAUUGAUUUCUCUUCAUAAAUGAUUAUCUAUUAUCAUCUUGAUUCUCUAUCUUUCUCUCUUUCUCUCUUCAAGGUUCAAUAAGAUUUCUAUUUGGGUACAAGGAAAAGCUCAACGAAGGAACCAUGAGUCUGAAGGAGAGAGAGAGAAAAACCCGCCUUCCCUUUUUUAGCUCUUUCUUUUUCUCUCUUUCUUCAUCUUCAUCUUCAUCUUUCUCUCUCUUUUCUUCAAGUUCUACACUCUUUUUUUGAACAAGUUGAAUGACCUUACGAAGGCUCAUGUCGAAGUAGAAAAAGAGAAAAGAACAAGAUGAUAAUUUUCGACUAACAGCUUCUCUUUCAUUUCUCUUUCUUUUUCCACUUUAUCAACCUCUUCCAAGGUUAUUCUGUCUCCUGGAACAUUUUCCUCUCUCUCUCUCUCUCUCUCUACCAUCAUCAUGCUCCUUUUUCCUCCUCCUUCUUCAUCUUCUACUGAUUAUAUUUCCAUAGGCUUUCCCUUUCUCUCUCUCUCUUUUAUUCUUUCAAUAUUUUCUCUCUACUCAAAGCUCACUCCUUCUCAGAGGAACUGAUCGAUAAACUCUCUCUCUCUCUCUCAUAAUGAUGCAGUCUGAUCAUCAUCAUCAUCGCUGUAAGAGAGAAAGAAAGAGAAAAGUCUUUUCUAUUAUUUUCUCUUUCUCUAAAUUUUCCCUCUUCUUUUUGGAAAAUAUCUUUUUUUUCUUCUAUUCUCUUUUGCUUUUGCGUGUUCUAUUCUGUCUGGAGGUUUCUCAUCGAUCGUCUGUUUCCCGGUUAGAAAAGGAGACAGAGAAAAAGAAAGAGAAAGAUACACAUUCUCAUAUAAUACCCUAGAAUAUGAAUGUAUAUUUAUAUCAGAAUUUAGAGAUUUUCUCUUUAAGAUCAUAUGUGUACUUUUAACAAAACACUUUUCCAUUGAAGCUGCAAACAAAUUUUCAUUCAUUAAAAAAGCCGAAGAAAAAUAAACAAAUCAAGAUAACGUAAAAUUUGCAUAUGUUAUUGUUUUUAAUGUGAAAUGUGAAAUGUGAUUUAUGUUGUAUGUGUGUGUGUGUGUGUGUGUGUGGAUGUUGAUGUAGAUGUGUAUUGUGGUGUGUAUGUGUGUGUAUUUACAAUGUAAGGUGUUGGAUGUAGUAUGUGUGUGGUAUGAGUUGAUUUUUUGGUGAAGAUGAAAAAUGGAAGAGAUGUUUUCUUGCUUUUUCAAAUGAGAAAGAUAAAGAAAGGGAGAUGGAGAGAAAGAGCAGAAAGAGAGA